UUGACCUCGGAUCAGGUAGGAAGACCCGCUGAACUUAAGCAUAUCAAUAAGCGGAGGAAAAGAAACCAACAGGGAUUGCCCUAGUAACGGCGAGUGAAGCGGCAACAGCUCAAAUUUGAAAUCUGGCUUCGGCCCGAGUUGUAAUUUGCAGAGGAAGCUUUAGGCGCGGCACCUUCUGAGUCCCCUGGAACGGGGCGCCAUAGAGGGUGAGAGCCCCGUAUAGUUGGAUGCCUAGCCUGUGUAAAGCUCCUUCGACGAGUCGAGUAGUUUGGGAAUGCUGCUCAAAAUGGGAGGUAAAUUUCUUCUAAAGCUAAAUACCGGCCAGAGACCGAUAGCGCACAAGUAGAGUGAUCGAAAGAUGAAAAGCACUUUGAAAAGAGGGUUAAAUAGCACGUGAAAUUGUUGAAAGGGAAGCGCUUGUGACCAGACUUGCGCCGGGCGGAUCAUCCGGUGUUCUCACCGGUGCACUCCGCCCGGCUCAGGCCAGCAUCGGUUCUCGCGGGGGGAUAAAGGCCCUGGGAACGUAGCUCCUCCGGGAGUGUUAUAGCCCGGGGCGUAAUGCCCUCGCGGGGACCGAGGUUCGCGCAUCUGCAAGGAUGCUGGCGUAAUGGUCAUCAGCGAC
Molecule: ribosomal RNA, 622 nt
Filed under: Chaetomium coarctatum
Lineage: Eukaryota; Fungi; Ascomycota; Sordariomycetes; Sordariales; Chaetomiaceae
Also listed under: 2 other names
Description: eukaryotic LSU rRNA
Rfam family: Eukaryotic large subunit ribosomal RNA
Source: RNAcentral